Molecule: RNA transcript, 2642 nt
Organism: Drosophila miranda
Lineage: Eukaryota; Metazoa; Arthropoda; Insecta; Diptera; Drosophilidae
Exons: 2
Source: RefSeq, a predicted model, not a curated record
AUUUGGGAAAAAUUCAAUAAUACAAUAAAUUCCAUAUUGUGAGAUACAUCUGUAUCUAUAAAAUAAAUAUUUAACUAGCAGAUACAUUUGUAUCUUUGUGAAAAAUGCAAUACAACAGUGAACAAAAAGCUACGCUUCUAUAAAGUCCAUACAGUGAGAUACAUUUGUAUCUAUAAAAUAAAUAAUUAACUGUUGGAUACAUUUGUAUCUUUGUGAAAAAUGCAACAAAAUUUAAUAAAAAGUAAUCCAUAUUGUGAGAUAGAUUUGUAUCUAUGAAAGAUACGUUAGUAUCGGUGAGAUAAACUAAAAAAAAAAACAAUUUAAGAAAACCUUUUUUGCUGUGAAAUAAACAUUGUGUGAACGGAUUUAUAUCCAUAAGAUACUUUUUCAUCCAUCAAGUACGUUUGAAUCUGUGAGAGAAAUGCCUGAAAAAGUGUGUGCAGUGCAACAGGAACUUUAACUAAAUCUAAUUUGCUAUCUGUCAGAUACUUUUCACCGAAAACGAAACCGACGCCAUGCCAAUGCCAAUGCGAAAGCUAAAAUUACAUUUACAAUUACAUUUUAGCCCAAAAGUCAGUUCAUUAACGAAUGUUACCCCUAACCCCCUUCUACCCGUGACUCUUGCAGAGCAUCGUCCACAAUUAGCGGAGCUAUCGGAGAGGAGAGGAGGAGCCAAGGAGCCGCCGCCCAGCAACAACCAAUGGACCAUGUUGAUGCCGGUGCUGGAAUACUCGUACAACAGACACAUAGCCAAGAUACCAAAUUGUAAAAUGAGGCGAACGACGACGCUUAGAGUGGCAUCGAUGCGGAUUGGGUUGCUGUUCCUCCAACUGUUGCUGGUGCCGCUGCUCCACUGCCAGGCGGUGGAUCCAGCGGCCAGCGGUGGUGUUGCUGGCGGUACUGUCGCUGGCGGAGGAGUCAGCGCUGGUGCUGGUGCUCCCGGAGGUGCGGCAGGGAGCAACAGCCUCAAUGGCGGACCAGCGGGUGGCACACUGAGUGCCAAUCUCACGGAAUUGGGCAGUCCCGGUGUGUAUAAUUCGGCAUUGGAUAUAUAAUGCUAAUUGCAAUGUAGUAUAUGGCGUAUAGCUGACUUAACCCCUAACCCCUAGCCACAGUCCCAUUACCAUUCCCAUUCCCAGCCCCCUUGACGACGACGCCACCAUUUUGGCAUUUGUGUGCAUUAGCCGUUUCCGUUUCCGCUUGGCAAAAGCAAGAGCAAAAGCAGGGAAAGGGUUGGCCGGGCGGCAGAAACUAUUAGCUACUUGGCGCUAAAUAACCACGCCCACGCCCAUACCCACGACCCUUGGCCCGACCACCUCCUCCAUUCACACAGAAGCAAAACACUAAGCAUCAAUUAACCCAAUUUUCAGAAUCCAUUUUCACCUGGCCACGGAGCAUGGAGCAUGGAGCAUGGCGCAUGGAGCUGUGGCCAUGGCGCGCUCUUUGGCUCUUUUGCUGAGUAUUUUCCUACUUUUCCGUACUUUUGUGUGGACUUAAGUGUGCGUGUUCACAGCUCCUUUUCCCUCCGUCCAUCUAUAUAUAUAUUUUUUUGAGAGUUUACCUCUUCUUUUUUGCCACCAAUCCCCAAGUGGCGACGAGUCGAAACCAACUCCCAAUUCCCCCAAUCCCAGCCCCAGCCCACUUCCUUGUUUAAUCCUGGCGCUUUUAGCCAGACUUUUCUUCUACUCCAAACUCUUUUCACAGGCGUUCCGGGCAUUUGUUGUAGUUUGGUUUGGUUUUGGUUUCUGGAUCUGGACUUCAACGUGGGAGCAGCAGCAGCGGCAGCAGCAAAUCAUAAUUAAUCCAUCGAUUUUCCAGCAAUCUUUUUUCAGCAUUAUCCAGCUUCAAUAAUUCACACAAAUCAUUUCAGCUAUAAAUAUAAAUUCUUUUUACAGCAUUUAACAAUGAGUUUUUCAGCAAACAAGAGAAUUUUUUCAGCACAGUAGAGGUUUUUCCCUGUUAUUAUGGAUUGGAAUACAUAUUACGGAUCCAAUUACAAAUUGAUGAGCGGACGCCACAGAACUUGUACGACAGUUUGUCAGACAUCGGAUACAACGGACAGCGGGUGGUCCCUCGGAGCAUUGGUCAUCCGCAAACAGCUGGAGAGAUGCAGAUGUCCGGGACUGGGAUUGUAUUUCUUUGAAGAAGUGACAACCCUUCAGAUACAUUUACGACUGCUGGCGGGAGUAGUGUGCUUGAUUGCGGCUGAAAGAAACGAAUUUCAUAAUGUUUCAUUAUAAUAAGUGUAUUAAAUUAAAAACGAGGGGGAACGUUUGAUCAGAUCUGAUCCAGGUCCAUCAAUCUGAUAGAUACGGUUAUUCCCUAUAAUUCUAAGCUGGAUACUGGAUACAACAUUUAGUUUCUAUAGCUCUUAUAGUCCCUGAGAUCUAGGCGCUCAACGGGACCGCCAGACGGACAGUCAGAUAUGGCUAUAUCGACUUGGCUUUUGAUGCUGAGCAAGAAGCUAUGUACUUUAUGGGAUCGGAAACGCUUCCUUCUUGACGAUACACACAUCUAAUCUAAUGUACCCCUAAUCUCAUUUUUAGUACCGGGUAUAACUAUCUCUAAGUUUGUUAUUCAUAAAUAUAAUCUACUAAUUAUUCAUACGAAUAAAGCCACCAUUCAAACGUGAUAAAACAUAA